Molecule: ribosomal RNA, 777 nt
Filed under: uncultured Neocallimastigales
Lineage: Eukaryota; Fungi; Neocallimastigomycota; Neocallimastigomycetes; Neocallimastigales
Description: partial large subunit ribosomal RNA
Rfam family: Eukaryotic large subunit ribosomal RNA
Source: RNAcentral
CGUCUAUAUACGUAUAGCAUAUCAAUAAGCGGAGGAAAAGAAACUAACAAGGAUUCCCUUAGUAACGGCGAGUGAAGCGGGAAGAGCUCAAAUUUGAAAUCUUCAAGGUUUUACCUUGACGAAUUGUAGUUUAAAGAAGUGUUUUCUGUUAGAGUUUGAGUAGCAAAGUUCUUUGGAAUAGGACAUCAUAGAGGGUGAGAAUCCCGUAUUUGACCAUUAUUUUCUAGCUGUGUGAUACACUUUCAAAGAGUCGGAUUGUUUGGGAAUGCAGUCCAAAAUGGGUGGUAAAUUUCAUCUAAAGCUAAAUAUUGGCGAGAGACCGAUAGCGAACAAGUACCGUGAGGGAAAGAUGAAAAGAACUUUGAAAAGAGAGUUAAACAGUACGUGAAAUUGUCAAAAGGGAAGCGUUUGACACCAGUGUUGUUUUUCCGAAAAUCAAUUAAGAGUGGCUUGAUUUUGUGUUGUAUUGACCUUAUCAGCUUUCUUCACUCUUUUUCGAGUCUUUCUUAAUGCACUUUUCGGUUAACAAGUCAACAUCAAUUUCUUUUGUUGUAAAAGGGUAUUUGGAAGGUGGCUUUCUUUUCGGAGAAAGUGUUUAUAGCCUUAUACCUCUACAAUCGGAGAGAUUGAGGUCUGCAGCGUAGAUCCUUCGGGGCUAGAUACACUUGUGCUAAGUUAUAGCUUUUCAUAGACAACUUGUUGACUAUGUUUAGUCAUGUAGCUUACCCGCUUGUGCUAUUUUACCUACGCUUAGGAUGUUGAGUCAUCACACAUCUC